This 634-nucleotide ribosomal RNA is filed under the name uncultured bacterium. Its description in RNAcentral is "bacterial SSU rRNA". It matches the Rfam family "Bacterial small subunit ribosomal RNA", at positions 8 to 637 of the family's 1533-position model. The record is from RNAcentral.
AGAGUUUGAUCCUGGCUCAGGAUGAACGCUGGCGGCGUGUCUAAGGCAUGCAAGUCGAACGAGACCCCUUUUGUAGCAAUACGGAAGAAGGUCUAGUGGCAAACGGGAGAGGAACGCAUUGGUAAUCUGCCUUCGAGACGGGCAUAACUUCGGGAAACCGAAGCUAAUACCACGAUGGUCAUGGGGGGACGCAAGUCAUUCCCAUGUAAACGGGCAGCGCAAGCUGUUUCGCUCGAAGAGGAACCUAUGUCCUAUCAGCUUGUUGGUGAGGUAAAAGCUCACCAAGGCAACGACGGGUAUGGGGUGUGAGAGCACGACCCCACUCACUGGGACUGAGACACUGCCCAGACACCUACGGGUGGCUGCAGUCAAGAAUCUUCCCCAAUGGACGAAAGUCUGAGGGAGCGACGCCGCGUGCAGGAUGACGGCCUUCGGGUUGUAAACUGCUUUUAUCAGGGACGAACGAUGACGGUACCUGAAGAAUAAGAGGUUGCUAACUCUGUGCCAGCAGCAGCGGUAAUACAGAGACCUCAAGCGUUAUCCGGAUUUAUUGGGCGUAAAGGGUCCGCAGGCGGCUUUGCGCGUCGACGGUUAAAUCUAAAGGCUCAACCUUUAGACCGCCGUUGAUACGGCA